GGAGCGUGAGGAGGAUCAGGGGCUGAGGGAUGAGGGGUGUGGAGUGUGAGGAGGGUCAGGGGCUGAGGGAUGAGGGGUGUGGAGCGUGAGGAGGAUCAGGGGCUGAGGGAUGAGGGGUGUGGAGUGUGAGGAGGAUCAGGGGCUGAGGGAUGAGGGGUGUGGAGUGUGAGGAGGGUCAGGGGCUGAGGGAUGAGGGAUGUGGAGUGUGAGGAGGGUCAGGGGCUGAGGGGUGUGGAGUGUGAGGAGGGUUAGGGGCUGAGGGAUGAGGGGUGUGGAGUGUGAGGAGGGUCAGGGGCUGAGGGGUGUGGAGUGUGAGGAGGGUUAGGGGCUGAGGGAUGAGGGGUGUGGAACUUGAGGAGGGUCAGGGGCUGAGGGAUGUGGGGUGUGGAGUGUGAGGAGGAUCAGGGAGUGAGGGAUGAGGGGUGUGGAGUGUGAAGAGGGUCAGGGGCUGAGGGAUGAGGGGUGUGGAGUGUGAGGAGGGUCAGGGGCUGAGGGGUGUGGAGUGUGAGGAGGGUUAGGGGCUGAGGGAUGAGGGGUGUGGAGCGUGAGGAGGGUCAGGGGCUGAGGGAUGAGGGGUGUGGAGUGUGAGGAGGUUCAGGGGUCGAGAGGGUAGGCCGGGGUACACCAGUCAAGGUCAAGUGUUAAUUCGCCACACGGCGAGGGGAGGAGAUAUGUAGGGAGAGUGGACUGAACGAGGGGGGAGAGGUUGGGGUGACCACCACCACACCAGUGGCUGAGGGACAGGAGCAGGACAUUCCAGGGGGAGCAAGUUCGAUGUUCACCCCCUCCCUCCUCUGUCUACCUCUCUCCCUCUCUACUCCACAUCCCCCACCAGCAGCAGCUUGACCACAGGGGUCAGCCUCAGUCGAAUGAGGUCAGCCGUCUGGGAUGAAAUUGACCCUUGGCCCCCUCUGCUUGAUGCCUGCUUGCAUCCCAAUCACCUGGACAAUGAACCCGCAGACAGUAGUGGUUAUGGGUUUGAGAUUGUGCGACUGAGUGUGUAUGUGUGUACAAGAUGCUACAAUAUUUAUUCACCACUUUGUAUAGAUGGGG
Oncorhynchus tshawytscha (Chinook salmon) is the source of this 1053-nucleotide long non-coding RNA. The record is from Ensembl. Lineage: Eukaryota; Metazoa; Chordata; Actinopteri; Salmoniformes; Salmonidae.